RNAcentral lists this ribosomal RNA (776 nucleotides) under uncultured bacterium. RNAcentral's name for it is "bacterial SSU rRNA". It matches the Rfam family "Bacterial small subunit ribosomal RNA", at positions 28 to 776 of the family's 1533-position model. The record is from RNAcentral.
GACGAACGCUGGCGGCGUGCCUAAUACAUGCAAGUCGAACGCUUUGAUUUUCCCCGGAGCUUGCUCCACCGAAAAUCAAAGAGUGGCGGACGGGUGAGUAACACGUGGGCAACCUGCCCAACAGAGGGGGAUAACACUUGGAAACAGGUGCUAAUACCGCAUAAUUUGUUUUCCCCCAUGGGAAAAUAAUAAAAGACGCUUCGGUGUCACUGUUGGAUGGGCCCGCGCUGCAUUAGUUAGUUGGUGGGGUAAUGGCCUACCAAGACCGUGAUGCAUAGCCGACCUGAGAGGGUGAUCGGCCACACUGGGACUGAAACACGGCCCAGACUCCUACGGGAGGCAGCAGUAGGGAAUCUUCGGCAAUGGACGAAAGUCUGACCGAGCAACGCCGCGUGAGUGAAGAAGGUUUUCGGAUCUUAAAACUCUGUUGUUAGAGAAGAACAAGUGGGAGAGUAACUGUUCCCACCUUGACGGUAUCUAACCAGAAAGCCACGGCUAACUACGUGCCAGCAGCCGCGGUAAUACGUAGGUGGCAAGCGUUGUCCGGAUUUAUUGGGCGUAAAGCGAGCGCAGGCGGUUUCUUAAGUCAUGAUGUGAAAGCCCUCGGCUCAACCGAGGAAGGUCAUUGGAAACUGGGGAACUUGAAUGCAGAAGAGGAGAGUGGAAUUCCUUGUGCAGCGGUGAAAUGCGUAGAUAUAUGGAGGAACACCAGUGGCGAAGGCGACUCUCUGGUCUGUAAUUGACGCUGAGGCUCGAAAGCGUGGAGAGCAAACAGG